CCGAGUUUAGCAACUCCCAAACCCCUGUGAACAUACCACUUAUGUUGCCUCGGCGGAUCAGCCCGCGCCCGUAAAACGGGACGGCCCGCCAGAGGAACCCCUAAACUCUGUUUCUAGAUGUAACUUCUGAGUAAAAAACCAUAAUAAAUCA
This 151-nucleotide unclassified non-coding RNA is filed under the name soil metagenome. RNAcentral describes it as "partial internal transcribed spacer 1". The record is from RNAcentral.